UACAGCCAUAUCACGUUGAAACAACGUUACCCGUACGACCAACAAAGUUAAGCAACGAUAUGGUUGGUCAGUACCUUGAUGGGUGACCGCUUGGGAAUACCAGGUGAUGUAAG
This is a non-coding RNA of Acanthosepion pharaonis, 113 nucleotides long. The record is from the annotation of a GenBank genome assembly. Lineage: Eukaryota; Metazoa; Mollusca; Cephalopoda; Sepiida; Sepiidae.